CUGUCGCUGUCACACAGAGCAGAGCUCAGCGCUGCCCCUCCGCUCCCUGUGAGGAGCUGCGGCCGCCAUCAGGCCUCCCCUCAGCUCCUCUGCUUUGCGCUGAGCCAACACAGGGACCUCAGCCAUUCUUCAUACAUCUUGCCCUCCAGACCCUUCCCCAUUUUUGAAGCUCUCCUUUGGAUGGGACAAAAGCAGCCCAGGUCACACUGGUGAGAUUCCUCUCCCCUCUCGUCGAGUCCUUCUUUGUUUAUAUUAUUCAGAAAAUAAUUUUGAUGUAAAAUAUAGAACAAGAUAUCUGUAAAUCGCUUCUGAGGAAGACUACGGUCCCAGAGCUCAUAGGAUCUCCUGACUACAUACUGUUUCAGAACAAUUUCAUUCAGUGUAUGUCUGCACUUCCACUGCAUUUCCCUGAAAUGGAUCAAGCAAAGUUGGAAAGGAGCAAAUCCCUGUGUAAACAUCGAUAUCGUCAAUUAAUUAGGAAACACAGCAAGAUAAAUAAUGAAGCCCCAAGAAAGGUAAAUUAAUUUCUGUUUUCUUUCUGAUAGGUUCAAAAGUUUCCCCAGUUUCAAACUAUUUCUGCAAUUCACUUUUAUUCUAUUGUAGCACCUUAUCACAGGGAGGAAUCUCGGACCAUAAUGCAAGUUGUUGUGGAGGGAGAUUUUGUAAAAAUGCAUUCUUUUAAAAAUGUAUUUCAACUACUUAAAUACAUUUCUUGCUUGAAAUUUCACUUAGCUUAUUUAUUUUUAUUUUAUUUUAUUUUAUUUUUUAGAUAAAAUUCCACAUAAACAAUCCCAGAGUUCUGUGUUCUUUUAAGGAAAAUUGAUAAACGAUCAAAAAUAUUAAACAAUACCUCCCCCCCC
Meleagris gallopavo (turkey) is the source of this 860-nucleotide non-coding RNA. NCBI's taxonomy places the organism in Eukaryota, Metazoa, Chordata, Aves, Galliformes, Phasianidae. The record is from RefSeq and is a predicted model, not a curated record.